RNAcentral lists this ribosomal RNA (253 nucleotides) under uncultured bacterium. RNAcentral's name for it is "partial 16S ribosomal RNA". It matches the Rfam family "Bacterial small subunit ribosomal RNA", at positions 524 to 776 of the family's 1533-position model. The record is from RNAcentral.
UACGUAGGGCGCAAGCGUUGUCCGGAAUUAUUGGGCGUAAAGAGCUCGUAGGCGGUUUGUCGCGUCUGCUGUGAAAACCUAAGGCUCAACCUUGGGCUUGCAGUGGGUACGGGCAGACUAGAGUGCGGUAGGGGUGACUGGAAUUCCUGGUGUAGCGGUGAAAUGCGCAGAUAUCAGGAGGAGCACCGGUGGCGAAGGCGGGUCUCUGGGCCGAUACUGACGCUGAGGAGCGAAAGCGUGGGGAGCGAACAGG